RNAcentral lists this long non-coding RNA (1622 nucleotides) under Olea europaea (common olive). RNAcentral describes it as "long non-coding RNA (OEUR_LNC011518)". The record is from RNAcentral. Lineage: Eukaryota; Viridiplantae; Streptophyta; Magnoliopsida; Lamiales; Oleaceae.
AUCUGGGCAAGUUUUGAAAUGAAGAUUUCCCUUUUGACGAAUCUUGAUUAUCCAGUGAAAAAGAAGGUUGAAAGAACAGUAAACGAUCAGAUUGCCGAAAUUGGAUAACCAUCCAAAAUCGCGGUCUUUAAGCACAUCCCCAUCAGAUGGACAAGGGCAUGGAUUUGCAUCAGAUGCUACUCGUAAUGAAACAAAAAAUCCCUUGAAGAGUAACCAACUGAAUGAGAGAAAUGAAUGUCAUGUAGUGGACUUGAUAAUUGGAAUGACACAGAAUCAUUAGUCCAAUCAACUAAUCCCACCAGAGUUCCAUCAUCAGGUGAUAUGAUCACAUCUGGAGCGUUCAAUAUUAGCGUCUCAAACUCCUGAUGAUGAAUUUGAGGUUGGAAGCAAAGGUUUGGAGGCAGAACGUGAUGAACCCAAGAGCAAAAAAAAGGCAAGCGAUUCUUCUACCAUCGGCUGGCGAUUGAAAGAAAAAUGAUCAUCAUACGUUUACUCAUCGAGCUCAUGAACAUUUAUGUAUAGAAGUUGGUUUUCCUUUUCCAGGAAAAAUAGGAACCAAUUAAGAAAAGAAGGCACGCGCGCUCCUCAAAACUGUUUUUUCAAAAUUCUGUCAAUUGUGAAGUUCUGGGUGAUGAUAUUGCUGGAGAAAGUAUGGCUAGGAAGUUGUGAUGGGGAAUCCAUAUCGAAGGUGAGGCUGGAAGCAAAAAAUAUGGUCCCACUUGCUUAAAUAAAAGCUUUCAUGGGUCAUAACCCUUUCUUUGUUGGCUCAACAGGAGUUACCAUCGAUGCACUAGACUCGAUUGCAAUGUACGCAAGUAGGUUGAAAGAACAUCAUAUGAACCAAGGGCUUUUGUUACAACAUAUACAUCCAUGAAUGCCAAUCAAAAAGGCAGAUUCAGCAACUUCCAAGACAAGCAUGAAGAAUAAAUCAUCAACUUGUCCAUAGUUUUAAAUUUUGGUUUUUUAUCUGAUAGUUGGACAUAAGGAAUUAUUAUAGAAGUAAAAGCCAUUUAAGAUGAAUGCCUUCCCUAUUAUUUGAAAAUUGGAUUUCUUUCCCAUCCACAAAAAUGUAAACUUGUCCAUUUUGGAGUAAAUUAUAUACUCCAGGCUAUCUGCUACCAAAUGUGGAUUAACACGGCAUGGUUUCUCACCAAAGCCACCUCCCCCACACCGUGGGCCGUGGGGGACUCUCCAGUUUGACACGUACGAUUAGAUAACCUUCUUUUGUCACAACAUUGUAAAACCAGAAAAAAAACCAGGAAGCUCUUCAUAAGGAAAAUAGGAGGUGCAAGAUACCGUUUAACAUUGAGUACGUUUUUCCCCUAUUCUUGAUGUCCAUUAGUAUGACUUUGCGCUCUGCUUGCAUCUGAUCCCUCAUUCACAGUUUUGCUUUCACUAGAAACCACAGCAUUACUUGUCUUCCCCUGUUCCAAUAGAAGAAUUCAUUCAUUUAUACUUUUAGUUAGAUCAACGUCCAAUACAUCCAGCUUAAACUGACACGAGAUAAGCUUUGGAACUAUGAACUUGACACUAUCGAUGAUUUCAGCUUUAGUGUAUUGGUAUCUCUGCAUGUGAAUGACUCGUGGAUUUUACUGCUUGUUACUGGAAAUCAAUAUGAUUGU